Molecule: ribosomal RNA, 998 nt
Filed under: Salmonella enterica subsp. enterica serovar Thompson
Lineage: Bacteria; Pseudomonadati; Pseudomonadota; Gammaproteobacteria; Enterobacterales; Enterobacteriaceae
Description: partial 23S ribosomal RNA
Rfam family: Bacterial large subunit ribosomal RNA
Source: RNAcentral
AGACCCGAAACCCGGUGAUCUAGCCAUGGGCAGGUUGAAGGUUGGGUAACACUAACUGGAGGACCGAACCGACUAAUGUUGAAAAAUUAGCGGAUGACCUGUGGCUGGGGGUGAAAGGCCAAUCAAACCGGGAGAUAGCUGGUUCUCCCCGAAAGCUAUUUAGGUAGCGCCUCGUGAAUUCAUCUCCGGGGGUAGAGCACUGUUUCGGCUAGGGGGCCAUCCCGGCUUACCAACCCGAUGCAAACUGCGAAUACCGGAGAAUGUUAUCACGGGAGACACACGGCGGGUGCUAACGUCCGUCGUGAAGAGGGAAACAACCCAGACCGCCAGCUAAGGUCCCAAAGUCAUGGUUAAGUGGGAAACGAUGUGGGAAGGCCCAGACAGCCAGGAUGUUGGCUUAGAAGCAGCCAUCAUUUAAAGAAAGCGUAAUAGCUCACUGGUCGAGUCGGCCUGCGCGGAAGAUGUAACGGGGCUAAACCAUGCACCGAAGCUGCGGCAGCGAACGUAUCACUUAAAGCGAUUCAGCGGGUUACGAUUGACGGAGCGAAGCGACGUCAAAGCGUAUACAAAGUCGAGUCGGUUUAAGGAUACGUUCGUUGGGUAGGGGAGCGUUCUGUAAGCCUGCGAAGGUGGCCUGUGAGGGUUGCUGGAGGUAUCAGAAGUGCGAAUGCUGACAUAAGUAACGAUAAAGCGGGUGAAAAGCCCGCUCGCCGGAAGACCAAGGGUUCCUGUCCAACGUUAAUCGGGGCAGGGUGAGUCGACCCCUAAGGCGAGGCCGAAAGGCGUAGUCGAUGGGAAACGGGUUAAUAUUCCCGUACUUGGUGUUACUGCGAAGGGGGGACGGAGAAGGCUAUGUUGGCCGGGCGACGGUUGUCCCGGUUUAAGCGUGUAGGCUGGUUUUCCAGGCAAAUCCGGAAAAUCAAGGCUGAGGCGUGACGACGAGGCACUACGGUGCUGAAGCAACAAAUGCCCUGCUUCCAGGAAAAGCCUCUAAGCAU